CCCUUAGAGUUUGAUCCUGGCUCAGAUUGAACGCUGGCGGCAUGCCUUACACAUGCAAGUCGAACGGCAGCACGGGGGCAACCCUGGUGGCGAGUGGCGAACGGGUGAGUAAUACAUCGGAACGUGUCCUGGAGUGGGGGAUAGCCCGGCGAAAGCCGGAUUAAUACCGCAUACGCUCUGAGGGGGAAAGUGGGGGAUCUUUCGGGACCUCGCGCUCAAGGGGCGGCCGAUGGCAGAUUAGCUAGUUGGUGGGGUAAAGGCCCACCAAGGCGACGAUCCGUAGCUGGUCUGAGAGGACGACCAGCCACACUGGAACUGAGACACGGUCCAGACUCCUACGGGAGGCAGCAGUGGGGAAUUUUGGACAAUGGGCGCAAGCCUGAUCCAGCCAUGCCGCGUGAGUGAAGAAGGCCUUCGGGUUGUAAAGCUCUUUCGGCGGGGACGAAAAGGUUCGUGCUAACACCACGGAUCCAUGACGGUACCCGUAGAAGAAGCACCGGCUAACUACGUGCCAGCAGCCGCGGUAAUACGUAGGGUGCAGGCGUUAAUCGGAAUUACUGGGCGUAAAGCGUGCGCAGGCGGUCUAUUAAGACAGGUGUGAAAUCCCCGGGCUUAACCUGGGAACUGCGCUUGUAACUGAUAGGCUUGAGUGUGGCAGAGGGGGGUGGAAUUCCACGUGUAGCAGUGAAAUGCGUAGAGAUGUGGAGGAACACCGAUGGCGGAGGCAGCCCCCUGGGCUAACACUGACGCUCAUGCACGAAAGCGUGGGGAGCAAACAGAUUAGAUACCCUGGUAGUCACGCCCUAACUAUGUCAACUGGUUGUCGGGGAAGCAAUCCUUGGUACGAAGCUAACGCGUGAAGUGACGGCUGGGGAGUA
Molecule: ribosomal RNA, 878 nt
Filed under: uncultured bacterium
Lineage: Bacteria
Description: bacterial SSU rRNA
Rfam family: Bacterial small subunit ribosomal RNA
Source: RNAcentral